This 490-nucleotide ribosomal RNA is filed under the name uncultured bacterium. RNAcentral's name for it is "partial 16S ribosomal RNA". It matches the Rfam family "Bacterial small subunit ribosomal RNA", at positions 28 to 507 of the family's 1533-position model. The record is from RNAcentral.
GAUGAACGCUAGCGAUAGGCUUAACACAUGCAAGUCGAGGGGCAGCAUGGUCUUAGCUUGCUAAGACUGAUGGCGACCGGCGCACGGGUGCGUAACGCGUAUGCAACUUGCCUCACAGAGGGGGAUAACCCGUCGAAAGACGGACUAAUACCGCGUACACUCCAUCUUGGGCAUCCAAGGUAGAGGAAAUGAAAUUCGCUGUGAGAUAGGCAUGCGUCCCAUUAGCUAGUUGGUGAGGUAACGGCUCACCAAGGCGACGAUGGGUAGGGGAACUGAGAGGUUGAACCCCCACACUGGUACUGAGACACGGACCAGACUCCUACGGGAGGCAGCAGUGAGGAAUAUUGGUCAAUGGGCGAGAGCCUGAACCAGCCAAGUCGCGUGAAGGAUGACUGUCUUAUGGAUUGUAAUCUUCUUUUAUACGGGAAUAACAAGAGUCACGUGUGACUCCCUGCAUGUACCGUAUGAAUAAGCAUCGGCUAACUCCGUG